This 359-nucleotide long non-coding RNA is filed under the name Polistes fuscatus (common paper wasp). Its description in RNAcentral is "uncharacterized LOC122524477". The record is from RNAcentral. Lineage: Eukaryota; Metazoa; Arthropoda; Insecta; Hymenoptera; Vespidae.
UUGCUAAAAAUUGUUUAAGACAGCGUUUCCAUUGCAAAUCGUAUCCGGCACAACUCUUACUUAAUUUUCAUGAAUAAUAUAUCAUUUGAAAGAAAUAUAACCCAAGAAAAAACUACAUAAUUAUUGACUUGACGCCAUUAAAAAAUAUUUGUCUAUACAAACAAUGAAAUUCAUGCUGUGUGUAAUUCUAAAAAGAUUUGUUUUCUUUUCUUAAAUAAGUUUACAAUAAUAUAUAAAAAAAUAAAAUUUAUUAUACUUGCAAACAUUUUAAUUUAUAAAGAAAAAUAGUAAAUGUAUCAUCAAAAUAUACAUAAUUUGUAUACGACAAUUCUACCAAAUAGAUCUGUACUUUCAUUAAA